CCUACGGGAGGCAGCAGUGGGGAAUAUUGGACAAUGGGCGAAAGCCUGAUCCAGCCAUGCCGCGUGUGUGAAGAAGGCCUUCGGGUUGUAAAGCACUUUCAGUGGGGAAGAAAGCCUUGGGGCUAAUACCCUCGAGGAAGGACAUCACCCACAGAAGAAGCACCGGCUAACUCCGUGCCAGCAGCCGCGGUAAUACGGAGGGUGCGAGCGUUAAUCGGAAUUACUGGGCGUAAAGCGCGCGUAGGCGGUCUGAUAAGCCGGUUGUGAAAGCCCCGGGCUCAACCUGGGAACGGCAUCCGGAACUGUCAGGCUAGAGGGCAGGAGAGGAAGGUAGAAUUCCCGGUGUAGCGGUGAAAGGCGUAGAGAUCGGGAGGAAUACCAGUGGCGAAGGCGGCCUUCUGGACUGACACUGACGCUGAGGUGCGAAAGCGUGGGUAGCAAACAGGAUUAGAUACCCCGGUAGUC
Molecule: ribosomal RNA, 465 nt
Filed under: Vreelandella stevensii
Lineage: Bacteria; Pseudomonadati; Pseudomonadota; Gammaproteobacteria; Oceanospirillales; Halomonadaceae
Description: partial 16S ribosomal RNA
Rfam family: Bacterial small subunit ribosomal RNA
Source: RNAcentral